AUUGAACGCUGGCGGCAUGCCUUACACAUGCAAGUCGAACGACGCCAGGGGGCAACUCCUGGCGAGUGGCAAACGGGUGAGUAAUACAUCGGAACGUAUCCCGUCGUGGGGGACAACCAGUCGAAAGACUGGCUAAUACCGCAUGCGAUCGAAAGAUGAAAGCGGGGGAUCCGCAAGGGCCUCGCGGGAUGGCAGCGGCCGAGGUCGGAUUAGCUAGUUGGCGGGGUGAAAGCCCACCAAGGCGACGAUCCGUAGCUGGUGUGAGAGAACGACCAGCCACACUGGGACUGAGACACGGCCCCGACUCCUACGGGAGGCAGCAGAUGCCACUUUUGGACAAUGGGCGCAAGCCAAAACCAGCCAUCCCGCGUGUGUGAAGAAGGCCUUCGGGUUGUAAAGCACUAGGGGACGGAACGAAAUCGCGCGGGGGAAUACUCCGCGUGGAUGACGGUACCGUAAGAAGAAGCACCGGCUAACUACGUGCCAGCCGCCGCCGUAA
This 499-nucleotide ribosomal RNA is filed under the name uncultured bacterium. Its description in RNAcentral is "partial 16S ribosomal RNA". It matches the Rfam family "Bacterial small subunit ribosomal RNA", at positions 29 to 523 of the family's 1533-position model. The record is from RNAcentral.